Molecule: ribosomal RNA, 749 nt
Filed under: Janibacter sp.
Lineage: Bacteria; Bacillati; Actinomycetota; Actinomycetes; Micrococcales; Intrasporangiaceae
Description: bacterial SSU rRNA
Rfam family: Bacterial small subunit ribosomal RNA
Source: RNAcentral
GCUCCAGCUUGCUGGAGUGGAUCAGUGGCGAACGGGUGAGUAACACGUGAGCAACCUGCCCCUGACUCUGGAAUAAGCGCUGGAAACGGCGUCUAAUACUGGAUACGAGAAGGGUCCGCAUGGGCACUUUCUGGAAAGUUUUUCGGUUGGGGAUGGGCUCGCGGCCUAUCAGCUUGUUGGUGAGGUAAUGGCUCACCAAGGCGACGACGGGUAGCCGGCCUGAGAGGGCGACCGGCCACACUGGGACUGAGACACGGCCCAGACUCCUACGGGAGGCAGCAGUGGGGAAUAUUGCACAAUGGGCGAAAGCCUGAUGCAGCGACGCCGCGUGAGGGAUGACGGCCUUCGGGUUGUAAACCUCUUUCAGCAGGGAAGAAGCGAAAGUGACGGUACCUGCAGAAGAAGCACCGGCUAACUACGUGCCAGCAGCCGCGGUAAUACGUAGGGUGCGAGCGUUGUCCGGAAUUAUUGGGCGUAAAGAGCUUGUAGGCGGUUUGUCGCGUCUGCUGUGAAAAUCCGGGGCUCAACCCCGGACUUGCAGUGGGUACGGGCAGACUAGAGUGUGGUAGGGGAGACUGGAAUUCCUGGUGUAGCGGUGAAAUGCGCAGAUAUCAGGAGGAACACCGAUGGCGAAGGCAGGUCUCUGGGCCACUACUGACGCUGAGAAGCGAAAGCAUGGGGAGCGAACAGGAUUAGAUACCCUGGUAGUCCAUGCCGUAAACGUUGGGCGCUAGGUGUGGGACUCAUUC